ACUGUGGAAGCUUUUUUGUCAGAUACGGUUAUCUUUGGGGUUAAUUAUUAUAGCAGUUGAGUUUUAACACUUGAUUUGCUUUUAAAUCUGAAGCAUUAUAUUACUAAAACAUUUUUUGAUUUGUGAAUAUGUUGUUUAAUGGAUUAUAUCUCAUUUUGCAGUAGUAGUUGCAGUGCCUGAAAGAUUGCCAAAAAAAAUAGUGCUAGCUUUUGCUGAAAAAUGUAACAAUCAACUUACCAAUACUGCCUUCUCUUCCGAUAGCUAUGUUCUCCGUAAUAUUUUAAGAACUCAGUUUUUCAUAAGACUUGUGUUGUUUUUGAUUUUUUCCCAAGUCUGGUUGAUCCUUGUGUUGUUCUUUUUUAAAUGUGUAUUGUCUGUUCAGCUAUUCUGCAGGAGUUGCAUUCUUAAAAACCUUAACCAUAUCAAAAAUUGUGUUUAAAGGAGGAUUAUUGAGAUUGGCAAGCUUUUACUAGGAGGAGUUUAAAUGCUGACGUAUUUAGGAAACUCUAAAUACUGAGCAACUUUAUUCUAACUACAAAAUAGAUAGCCUUUCUUUUGUUUUUCACUUUCACUAUCAUUAGCACUGUGUUAAUAUCUUUUCUUCAUCUAUAACACAAUUAUAACGAUAUAUAAAGCCACUCAAAUAAAGCAGAUAUAUUGUGCUUAAAAAAAAAAAGAAAAAAAAAGAAGUCAUUAUGUGGCACACAAUGAGGUGUGACUUGAAUCUAGAAUCUCCAGUGAAAACCAAUGAAACAGGGUCAAACCCUGUGUCUACUAAAAAUAAAAAAAUGAGCCAGGCGUGGUGGCGCUGAGACAGGAGAAUCACUGGAACUCAGGAGGCAGAGGUUGCAGUGAGCUGAGAUCAUGCCACUGCACUCCAGCUGGGGUGGGGGACAGAGCAAGACUCAAUCUCAGAAACAAACACACGAAGCCAAUAAAGUUGUUUCACUCAACGUGUCAGGCUCAGGUCUCUUGACAGGAUACAUCCGGCAUCCGGGGAAACGUCGAGGGGUGGGGUGGAAUCUAUUUUGUGGCCUCAAGGGAGGUUUUGAGAGAUAGUCUUGCAAACGUGAUGGCCUAAGGAAGCCCCUCUGCCCAAGAAGCCAUAUUCAUUUGUAUCCUGUAGCCACCCACGAGGGAGAAUCCGGCUCUCUACAGACACCCCAACCCCCACCCCACCCCACCCCCUGCCUCGUGAAAUGAGCUCUCGCUCCAUCAGGCUCUAUUCACACCGUCUGGUUUUGUAACCUCCAGCGUGUGUGCAUGGGUUGCGGGGUGGGGUGGGGGCGGCUGUGGACAGAGAAGGGGAUAAAGCGGCGGUGUCCCAUGGGUGCCCGGGACGUGGGACAUGAGUAGAGUGGCCAGAGCCUAGUUAACUCAUCGCCUGUCAGGACGUCUCCCCUCCUGGUCCCCUCUCUGACCUACGCUCCACAUCUUAGCAGUUCAGUGGGGACCUUGUGGGUGGAAGUUGCCAACCCUUUGUACUUUAGCCGACGAAGACUGGGCUCCCAAGAGUCUCCCCGGAGUCGGGGCCUUGGGCAGGUUCACAAGGAUCCUGAUGGCGACGGUUGGUGAUGGUGAUGUAAGUUGGAAGCCUCGGACCAAAUCAGAGGUAUCCAUUUGACCUCGGUGGGACAGGUCAGCUUUGCGGAGUUCCGUGCGUCCUUCCAGAGAUUCAUCCAGCGCUAGCAAGCAUGGUCCCGAGGAUCCCAGCUCCCAGCAGAGGCAAUUUUGUUCACACAGAAUCCUGGGCAGGAAAGUUCUCAGCAGAUUUAGGCCUCCUAGCCAAAAAGUCAAAGCCACUUCUGGGAUUUUUUUUCAAAGAGCCAAUGGUUCCACAAUGGGCCAUGGGUAGUUGUGGAAAUGGAGAGACGUGUUUGCAGAUACAUAUUUGAGACAGAACGGACAGGGCUCGGUCACAGUUCAUGUAGGACACGAGCAGAUGCACAUUGAGAAAACCUUCCCAGCAUCCUAGGUGAACAGAGGUAUGAUUUUUUGAGACAGUCGAGGGAGACGCAACCCCAGAUUUUAGGGUUGGAUCUUUAUUAAUAUGUAGUAUCUAUGAGGAAUCCAAGUCCAGAAAUCAACUCGCCAGUUCUGUACAGCAUUCUGUAGGGAGAUCAAAUCUGGGAUGUCUAAAGUUAAGAAUUCAGGCCGUGGUAAUGGAUUAGAUUAGACGUACUUGAACUUAUUUUGCAAAGAAAGAGAGGGUGGGAGAUAGCGAGAGCCAGAGAGAAGGCGAGAGAGAGAGAGAGAGAGAGAGAGAGAGAGACAAAGACAGAGACAGAGAGAGACAGACAGAGAGACACAAAGAUACACAAAGAGAGAAAGACAGAAAGAGAGAGAGAGACAGACAGAUAAAGACACAGACAGAGAAAGACAGAGAUGGACAGAGACAGAGAGAAACAGAAAGAGAGACAGACAGAGACAGACAGGCAGACAGUCAGAGAAAGAGAGUAAGACAGAAGGCAGACACACACACACACACAGAGAGACAGAUGGACAGACAGAGAGAAAGAGAGAGACAGAGAGAGAGACAGACAGAGAGAAAGAGACAGAGAGAGAAAGAGACAGAGAUAGACAGACAGAAACAGAGACAGAGAGAGAGAGAGAAACAGACAAGGAGAGAGAGAGACAGACAGGCAGAGAAAGACAGUAAGACAGAAGACAGACACAGAGAGAGACAGGCAGAGAGAGACAGACAGAGAGACAGAGACAGAGAAACAGACAGGCAAAGAGAAAGAGAGAAAAAAAACAGACACACAGGGAGAGAGAGACCUACAGACAGACAGGCAGAGAGAGAGACAGAGACAGCGAGACAGAGAAACAGAAAUACAGACAGGCAGACAAAGAGACACACAGAGAAAGACAGAGAUGGACAGAGAGAGACAGAGAGAAACAAAGAGAGAGAGACAGAGAGAGAGAGAGAGAGAGAGACCGGCAGAGAAAGAGAGUAAGACAGAAGACAGACACAGUGAGAGAGACAGGCAGAGAGAGAGACACACAGAGACAGGGAGACAGAGAGAAAGAAAGAGAGAGAGACAGAGAGACAGACAGAGAAAGACAGAGACGGACAGAGAUAAACAGAAAGAGAGAGAGACAGAGACAGAGAGAAAGAGACAGAGAGAGAGAGACAGACAGGCGGAGAGAGAGACACACACACAGGCAGAGAAAGGGAGUAAGACAGAAGACAGACACAGUGAGAGAGACAGACAGAGAGAGAGAGAAAUAGGCAGAGAGAGACAGAGAGAGAGAGAAGACGGAGAAAGAGAGACAGAGAGAGGAGGAGGAAGGGCGUGCUCAGGAAAUAAUUACACAUAUUUUAUAACGCUUUUGAUCCCAUAAACGGUGGCCGAGGUGUGCUUUGAAAACAACAACAACAACAGCAACAAGAGCAGCAGCAGCAGCAAGAGCAGCAGCAGCAUUCACUUACGGAUUUCUAGAACAUAAGAUGUUCUGAAGAGUAGUAAACAUCAACCGGCUCUCACUAUACGUUCAGAGAUUCACAAAAUCGUUAGUAAACAACAGGAGAAAACCGCAGCUUACAUGUCUUGGGGAAAAUAUACGUCUUCCUGAAAACUGGGGAUUUCUACUUCAUCUAAAAAGAAAUACAUAAGAAAAAGGAAAAACACGAACGAAACAAAACAAGCCAACAAACACGGGCCAAGGCACUGUCCCUGGAAAUCUUAAGUGAGCAAAGUAUUAGUUUUCAGAAAGCGUUUCUAUUUUGGACAAAUACUAAGAAGGCCCAGACUAGAGCUGUGACGUCAUUCCUAUUGUGAAACUAUGCUGGCCGGAGGGCGGAGAAACUAAAACAUCAUGAUAAAAGGUGAUUGAAACCCAGCCGGGGUGAAGGUUUCCUAGGGAGGGAGGCCUGAGGAAGGAAGCGGGGUAAAAAACCCACAACUGCAGACCCGCCCGCUUGCCGACGCGGGUCAAGGGCUAUGCCAUCGGCCCAAGCUGCCUCUGGGGAAGUGGGACCGUGCCACCCCCAUCUUCAAAAACGGUGGCCACUGAGUAAGGCCUGACGCCCACCGUUGCAAAUGUCAGCCUGAGAUGCUCAUUUCAACAACCAGGCGGUUGAUGUGACGGAAGAAGUGUCAAGUCCAGGAGUUUGAGACCAGCCUGAGCAACUGAGCAACACAAGUAGGAGAGCCCAGCUGAAAAAAAUGAAAAAAAGAAGGAGGAGGAGGAGGAAAGAAAAGAAAAGAAAAGAAAAGAAGAGAAAAAAGUUAAAAUUAUCCAAUGGUGCAGGCACAAAAAAGAGUGAUUUCACGUCUUUUCCCACAACAUGGAUAGAGCUGGAAGCAAGUAUGUACCGAGUGAACUGCCUUCUGCUUACAAGUGGGAGGUAAAUAAUGGGUACGCGCACGGUCAUCAAGAUGGAAAUAACAGACACUCCAAAAGGGAGGAGGAGGGUAAGAGGGGGAGGAGGAGGGUAAGAGGGGGACGAGGAAUGAAUAAAUCGCCCGUCAGAGACAACGUUCGCCACGUGGGUAAGGCAUACACUGGAGGUCCACUUCUGCAUCCGGAAGCAGUAGUAUGCUGAUCUAACAAACAAGCACAUACACCCCCUGAGUCUGUAAAAUACCAAAACAACGACGACAGCACCAGCAGCAGCAGCAACAGCAGCAGCAGCACCAACAACAACAACAACAGAACAGAAGCUGGAACACAAAACCACCACCACCACCACCACAGUCGCCAGUCGGGGGUUGGGGGAGGGUGGCCGCGCUCGAGACCCUCAGGCACAGUCCCCUCGGGUUUAAAAAAGAAAACUGCAGACUCAUUCCUGUCUGUAGGCAGGAAAAAUCCAAUCAAAGUUCUCCAUUGCUAGAAAGGGAAGUAGAAUAAGGAGAAGGGCUUAUUGAUCUUCUUGUGAUCGAUUGAGACCACACAUGUAGGAAAAAAUUAAAUACAGACAGCAACACUUUCUACACUGUUCAAAAGCAUUGGAGAUCAGGCGCACCACACACCAUGGGCCUUGAGCCACUAGAGAGAAAAGGCAGGCCAGGUGCGGUGGCUCACGCCUGUCAUCCCAGCACUUUGGGAGGCCGAG
Molecule: long non-coding RNA, 5059 nt
Filed under: Homo sapiens (human)
Lineage: Eukaryota; Metazoa; Chordata; Mammalia; Primates; Hominidae
Description: long non-coding RNA NONHSAT173800.1
Source: RNAcentral